UGGAUCCAGACUUUGAUUAUGGCUCAGGAUGAACGCUGGCGGCAUGCCUAAUACAUGCAAGUCGAACGAGAGGAAGGAAGGCUCGCUUUCCUGAAUCUAGUGGCGAACGGGUGAGUAACACGUAGGUAACCUGCCCAUGUGCCCGGGAUAACUUCUGGAAACGGAUGCUAAAACCGGAUAGGUAGCAGACAAGCAUUUGACUGCUAUUAAAGUGGCCUUGGCCAUGAACAUGGAUGGACCUGCGGUGCAUUAGCUAGUUGGUGAGGUAACGGCCCACCAAGGCGACGAUGCAUAGCCGGCCUGAGAGGGCGGACGGCCACAUUGGGACUGGGACACGGCCCAAACUCCUACGGGAGGCAGCAGUAGGGAAUUUUCGUCAAUGGGGGGAACCCUGAACGAGCAAUGCCGCGUGAGUGAGGAAGGUCUUCGGAUCGUAAAGCUCUGUUGUAAGAGAAAAACGGCACUCAUAGGGAAUGAUGAGUGAGUGAUGGUAUCUUACCAGAAAGUCACGGCUAACUACGUGCCAGCAGCCGCGGUAAUACGUAGGUGGCGAGCGUUAUCCGGAAUGAUUGGGCGUAAAGGGUGCGUAGGUGGCAGAUCAAGUCUGGAGUAAAAGGUAUGGGCUCAACCCGUACUGGCUCUGGAAACUGGUCAGCUAGAGAACAGAAGAGGACGGCGGAACUCCAUGUGUAGCGGUAAAAUGCGUAGAUAUAUGGAAGAACACCGGUGGCGAAGGCGGCCGUCUGGUCUGGAUUCUGACACUGAAGCACGAAAGCGUGGGGAGCAAAUAGGAUUAGAUACCCUAGUAGUCCACGCCGUAAACGAUGAGAACUAGGUGUUGGGGGAAUAACUCAGUGCCGCAGUUAACGCAGUAAGUUCUCCGCCUGGGGAGUAUGCACGCAAGUGUGCAACUCAAAUGAAUUGACGGA
RNAcentral lists this ribosomal RNA (929 nucleotides) under uncultured bacterium. RNAcentral's name for it is "bacterial SSU rRNA". It matches the Rfam family "Bacterial small subunit ribosomal RNA", at positions 1 to 917 of the family's 1533-position model. RNAcentral also lists the same sequence under 1 other name. The record is from RNAcentral.